Molecule: small nuclear RNA, 18 nt
Filed under: Arabidopsis thaliana (thale cress)
Lineage: Eukaryota; Viridiplantae; Streptophyta; Magnoliopsida; Brassicales; Brassicaceae
Description: snRNA_00829
Source: RNAcentral
UCCCCGAACUUCGAACAC